GGAAGGGUGGCCGAGUGGUUUAAGGCACCGGUCUUGAAAACCGGCGUGGGUGCAAGCCCACCGUGAGUUCGAAUCUCACCCCUUCCGCCA
Molecule: transfer RNA, 90 nt
Filed under: Pseudolabrys sp. Root1462
Lineage: Bacteria; Pseudomonadati; Pseudomonadota; Alphaproteobacteria; Hyphomicrobiales; Xanthobacteraceae
Also listed under: 4 other names
Description: tRNA-Ser
Rfam family: tRNA
About the family: Transfer RNA (tRNA) molecules are approximately 80 nucleotides in length. Their secondary structure includes four short double-helical elements and three loops (D, anti-codon, and T loops).
Source: RNAcentral